This is a long non-coding RNA of Fopius arisanus, 941 nucleotides long. RefSeq lists it as uncharacterized. The transcript has 2 exons. The record is from RefSeq and is a predicted model, not a curated record. NCBI's taxonomy places the organism in Eukaryota, Metazoa, Arthropoda, Insecta, Hymenoptera, Braconidae.
CAUCACGAAUUUUGCUCAACCAUGAUGGCCCUGUAACGGUUGUCAUAUCAAUCAUUUUCAACAUCGAACCAGUAAUUACACAAUCAGAAUGGAGAAGCCGAUUCAAAGUUCAAUAGUUUUUUGUGUUCAUGUUGAUAACAUCAGAAGCCAUAUUUCUCAAUAAGCAAUUAAUCAAUAGCAAUUAACAUGAAAAUGUCUACAGGGUCAUAUUAGAGAUGAUAUUAAUUAUUGCACAUUAUCAUUAUGUAAUUUUUAAAAAAUCUGAAAAAUUACUAGGGCAGUUUUUUGUUUAAAACUAUUAUUUGCCUUUGUUCGGGGGCAGACACAUUAAGUUACAAAUAUUUAUCAUUUAAAACAAAGAUAACUUGAAGAUACGAUGUUGUUUUGCAAUUUUUCCAGAUUAUUUUAGAGAAUAUUCGGAUCAUAAAAAUAAGGAAGCACAGAGAUACACGGAAACGCCUGCAAAUAAAAUACACUAAUGCCUAAAAUCACAAACAGCUUACAACGCGGAAACUAUUAACCAGUUUCCCAAAUAUAUAAAGACAAGUAGAAAUCUCCUGUUCAUUGGUCCGCUAACGACGUCGUCAUGAAAUUUUUCAUCGUUUUCUUUCUGAUAUUCUGUGCUUUUGCCAUGGGAGAACAAUCUCCGUAUAAUUGUAUGAGAUGCGAGGACGAUAAACUUUGCAUCGCAAGAUUGAAAUGUUCUUGGGGAUGGCCGGCCUGUCAAUACGCUUAUGCCAGAUCUUGUUGCACCUGUUCCCUCGACCCCAAAUACAAAAAAAAUGGUUAAUCUUGUCAUGAUUAAAAGAAGGUAUUGGCAGUGUAACAGUCUAUGAAAUAAAUGAUCGAAUUCAAUUAAUUAAGUUUGUCGGAUUUCGCCUAUUGAGAAUGUUUACGGAAUCAAUCACCAUUUUGGUAAAUAAAAGUGAGUUCUAUAUUUA